GAUGAACGCUAGCUACAGGCUUAACACAUGCAAGUCGAGGGGUAACGAGAGGGAAGCUUGCUUUCCUUGUCGACGACCGGCGCACGGGUGAGUAACGCGUAUCCAACCUGCCCCCAACUAGGGAAUAACCUUGCGAAAGUAAGACUAAUACCCUAUAAUUUCCUCAGAUGUCAUCUGACGAGGAAUAAAGAUUUAUCGGUUGUGGAUGGGGAUGCGUCUGAUUAGCUUGUUGGCGGGGUAACGGCCCACCAAGGCAACGAUCAGUAGGGGUUCUGAGAGGAAGGUCCCCCACAUUGGAACUGAGACACGGUCCAAACUCCUACGGGAGGCAGCAGUGAGGAAUAUUGGUCAAUGGGCGGAAGCCUGAACCAGCCAAGUAGCGUGCAGGAUGACGGCCCUAUGGGUUGUAAACUGCUUUUAUGCAGGAAUAAAGUUAGCCACGUGUGGUUAUUUGUAGGUACUGUAUGAAUAAGGACCGGCUAAUUCCGUGCCAGCCGCCGCGGUAA
RNAcentral lists this ribosomal RNA (506 nucleotides) under uncultured bacterium. Its description in RNAcentral is "partial 16S ribosomal RNA". It matches the Rfam family "Bacterial small subunit ribosomal RNA", at positions 28 to 523 of the family's 1533-position model. The record is from RNAcentral.